AACAAAAAAACGUUUCCAAGAGUUCCAAGAGACAUAUGUAAAGAAGUAAGAUGGGGAGGGGGCCAGAAAGAGGACACACAGGCAGCAGCGAGCGUGGGACUACCCUGUCGGGAUCCAAUUACAACAGACAAACGAGGGGCUGAAUAAAAACAAUGCACUCUGGGAGCUCCUCUGCACGACAGACCAAGCCGGACCGAGGGGCCAGCAGUGGCACUGCAGAUGCUCUGGGAGGCAGCAGGAGUCAGCCCAGCUGCUGGCUGCCUCCGGCCGGCCGGCCGGCCCUUCUGUGGGGUCUGGGCCUGGCUAUCAGUACCAAUCCAAGACUUGCCAUCUGCAGAAGAUCUCAAAUGGGCUGUAAUGAGGGAGGGUGGUGAACCUCAUCUGCAGCACAGGAAGACUGAGCAAAUGGUGGGUGACUUCUGGCAGACAAAGUCUUCUCAGUCACCAUCCAAGUUAAAUAUGUGGUGUAAGCCUUCAGGAACCUAGGAGGUACACUUGGAUGACAAUGAGGGGUGGGGCUUCAAACCUGGACACCCUCUGCUUCAGUGUUUACCAGCCAGUGCGUUUUUGCUCCCUCCCAGCUCCCUGCCAGACAGUCCACAUUGCCAAACUUGCUCCUUCCUACCACUGUUUGUAAAACUGCUCUAGGCUCAACCAGUUGGCCAUUAUGUUUUGUCUGUAUGUAGUAUUUGUUUCAUUGUAACACAGACACAUAAUGGUUAUUUCUCAUAUGUUUGCACAUCUGUACAUUUAAUUUAUUCACAUCUGUAAAUUUAUUUUUACCUUUAAUUAUACUCAUUUAUUCUGCCCCUUUUCCUAUUUCUGUUCCUGUUUUUGCUGCUGUGCUGCUGUAACAUCCUAAUUUCCCCCUGGGGAUCAAUAAAGUUCCAUCUAAUCUC
Long non-coding RNA from Paramormyrops kingsleyae, 899 nucleotides. RefSeq lists it as uncharacterized. The record is from RefSeq and is a predicted model, not a curated record. Lineage: Eukaryota; Metazoa; Chordata; Actinopteri; Osteoglossiformes; Mormyridae.